AGAGGAGCUGCCCCUAGUACGAGAGGACCGGGGUGGACGUACCUCUGGUGUACCGGUUGUUCCGCCAGGAGCAUCGCCGGGUAGCUAAGUACGGAAGGGAUAACCGCUGAAAGCAUCUAAGCGGGAAGCCCACCUUGAUACUAGGUCUCGCAUGAGAGCCGUGGUAGACCACCACGUUGAUAGGCUGGAUGUGGAAGCGUGGCAACACGUGAAGCUGACCAGUACUAAUUGCUCGAUUGGCUUGAUUGU
RNAcentral lists this ribosomal RNA (249 nucleotides) under Rhodospirillaceae bacterium. RNAcentral's name for it is "partial 23S ribosomal RNA". It matches the Rfam family "Bacterial large subunit ribosomal RNA", at positions 2665 to 2925 of the family's 2925-position model. Lineage: Bacteria; Pseudomonadati; Pseudomonadota; Alphaproteobacteria; Rhodospirillales; Rhodospirillaceae. The record is from RNAcentral.